GAUGAACGCUGGCGGCGUGCCUAAUACAUGCAAGUCGAGCGGACGGACGAGAAGCUUUCUUCUCUGAUGUUAGCGGCGGACGGGUGAGUAACACGUGGAUAACCUACCUAUAAGACUGGGAUAACUUCGGGAAACCGGAUCUAAUACCGGAGAAUAUUUUGAACCGCAUGGUUCAAAAGUGAAAGACGGUCUUGCUGUCACUUAUAGAUGGAUCCGCGCUGCAUUAGCUAGUUGGUAAGGUAACGGCUUACCAAGGCAACGAUGCAUAGCCGACCUGAGAGGGUGAUCGGCCACACUGGAACUGAGACACGGUCCAGACUCCUACGGGAGGCAGCAGUAGGGAAUAUUCCGCAAUGGGCGCAAGCCUGACGGAGCAACGCCGCGUGAGUGAUGAAGGUCUUCGGAUCGUAAAACUCUGUUAUUAGGGAAGAACAUAUGUGUAAGUAACUGUGCACAUCUUGACGGUACCUAAUCAGAAAGCCACGGCUAACUACGUG
Molecule: ribosomal RNA, 497 nt
Filed under: uncultured bacterium
Lineage: Bacteria
Description: partial 16S ribosomal RNA
Rfam family: Bacterial small subunit ribosomal RNA
Source: RNAcentral